UGAUGGAGACGACCGGGUUACCUCCUGUUGGUAUGGAAAAGAAUAGAGAGAAUGGAAAAACAAUGAGAGGGCUGGUCAAGUGAGGAUUAGACCGGUCGGCCAGAUAUGGGGGAUUGGCUCCCCGGGUGCACAUGUUUGAGAGGAUGGGCUGUUUGAGAGGACGGCUCGUCGGGGGUUUAGGUGACGCCACUGACUAAUUUCCACGUGAUGUGAUUAUUUGAAGGUGAUAUUGUUUGUGGGUGCUGAUGUAAUGUCAUAUGAUUGACUGUUGUGUGUUCAUUCAGUAAACUAGGGUGCAUUUUGCUUGACUGUAUGUGGUGUGUAUUAUUUAUUAUUAUUCACUGAGUUGCAAAACUCACCCCCCCAACAAACCUCCCAGGUACUAGGAAGCAGCUGAUUCGACUGGAGCUCUGCAAUCUUCUCCGCAGAGUUAUAAAUGUAAACUUUAUAUUCCUGUUAUUUAAUUUUGGAUGUAUAAAUUAUUCUGUUAUCAGAUUAUUCUUGGACUCCGCAGUUAUAGGGUUGUGUAUGAAUAUUGGAUCUAUUGUUAGCAUUACACUAUAAAUUAUAUAUUAUGUAAUUAGCUGCAGGUGAACCAGUAAGCCCAUAAUGUGAUUAUAAUUUAUUGUGAAUAGGCCCUGGUUAGAUAUUAUGUGUUAAUUGAGAUCGAGGCUUACUGUUUCGAUGAAUUAAUUGGGCAAGAUAGGUAGACAGAUUGGAUAAUUUAGGCUUACUACGGGCCUCGGGGGCCUUAAGCUUACCUGGGUCCUAGUGCCGGUCCGGCCCACGGAAACGGGUCGUGACACUAGUUAUGGCGACUGUUCGACUUCAUAGUUUUUCUACAAAUCCGAUAUAAUUGCC
This 861-nucleotide long non-coding RNA is filed under the name Jatropha curcas. RNAcentral describes it as "long non-coding RNA (JCUR_LNC001114)". The record is from RNAcentral. Lineage: Eukaryota; Viridiplantae; Streptophyta; Magnoliopsida; Malpighiales; Euphorbiaceae.